AUCCUUGAAGUAGGAAUUCGCAAUCUCUUGCCCUGAGAUGCACUCUGAUGCUGGCAACAAGAAUACACUCUUGUUGCAUGUGCUCAGUGAUAUUAUCAGGGCAAGAGAGAGCGAAAUUUCCUGCUUCAUCAUGCUCUUUAACACCUGUGCACCACAUAAAAGCAGAGUUUCAAUGUUUCUCUGAGUUAGUGUUAGUGAAUUAUAAUAGGUUAGGGGUACCACCCCGGGGGGUCCAAUAUGGAUCUGCUGGGUGUGUGUAUGCACUAUGUAUAUGCUUCUGGGAGGCACUUGGAAGAAAUAUGGGUGGUUUUGCCUUUAACAUACAAAACUCUUAAAAAUGUCAUGUAGAAUGAGAUGCUCCAGGAGUGAGCUAAAAAUAUAUACAACUUUCAACAAUGGAUCUCUUGGCUCUCGCAUCGAUGAAGAACGCAGCGAAAUGCGAUAAGUAAUGUGAAUUGCAGAAUUCAGUGAAUCAUCGAAUCUUUGAACACACCUUGUGCUCCUUGGGUCACCUAUGGAGCAUGCCUGUUUGAGUGUCAUAUUGAAUCAACUCCCCUCAGGUUUUUCGUUCUGAAAAGCCUGUUCAGGUGGAGUUGGAUUUGGAGGUUUCAUGCAGGUCCCCCCUUGGGGGAUCAGCUCCUCUUAAAUACAUUAGCUUAUAGGAUGAAGCAAAAAGGCUCUUUAGCAUUGUUCAUUGGCUAUGGUGUAAUAA
This 712-nucleotide ribosomal RNA is filed under the name Coltricia perennis. Its description in RNAcentral is "eukaryotic LSU rRNA". The stretch from base 385 to 539 matches the Rfam family "5.8S ribosomal RNA". The record is from RNAcentral. Lineage: Eukaryota; Fungi; Basidiomycota; Agaricomycetes; Hymenochaetales; Hymenochaetaceae.